AAGGCGGGAAGGGCACUUGUCCUCCUGGUGGCAGGGGCAGGAGACAGGUUCCUCCUCGCUCCCGGCUCCCCAGGUGCCGCACUCAAGCUCCCCAGAGCCAUGGGCUCGUGGCCCCUUUCCUGAAGCCCAGGGAGAGAGACAGAGAUGAAGUCUGCCAGGGCGCAGCCUGGAAACCCGUCUUGAACAAGGGCAGGUGUGUGGGGUGGUUAAGACUCAAACUCCGGUCUGGAUUCACGGCCUGGCUCUGCCCUUUACACACUGUGUGGCCUCAGACAAGUCACUUCACCGCUCUGAACCUCCGUUUUCUCGUCUGCAAAAUGAAGUGAUGAAUUCCCACAUUGCAGGGUCAGUGGGAUUUAAAAAGCCUCAGGCCCAGUGCCCAGUAGGGCACACAGGAGACAGUUCUCUGGGGCCGGGGUCUGCUCACGUUCUUUCCUCCUGGGGGGGCAAGUGGGGCUGGGCCAAAGGGCCAACUGGAGCUGCCCGUGAGACAGAGCAGUGAGGCCUGGAGGCGCCAAGACUUCGAGGCCCAGGCCCAUCUCCAGCCACAUCUGAAACCCACCAGUGGGACAGGCCGGGGUGCGGCCCCCCAAUUACUCCCUUUCUCUGUCAUGACCGCUCAUGGCUCCUCCUCUCAGUUAGGGCGUCUGCAGCACCCAGCACACCUGGCCAGACCCGGAAGGACUGGUGCUGCCCGAGGCAUCCACUGGCCAGGGGGAAAAGGAUGAGAAAAGUCCCCACAGAUGUGGGAAGAGCUUCCAGUUUCUCGUCAAACUUUGAACAUUUUCUCAGGCCGCCGCCAGAGCGAAGGACAGCGCGGAUCCCACAGUGUGGAAUCAGGAUGGAAAAGCCCUUUAAUCAAAGACGUUAUCGAUUAUUUAGAAGGAAAACAAAAGGAAUGUCGCGGGGCGAGCCAAGCUCCCUACACGUCCCUCGGAUGUUGCCACCCCCCGUCCUCAGCACGUGCCAGGACGGAGGCGACAGCCCCACCCCCGUCCUCAUCCAGCACGGGACAGACAGCAUAAGAAUCCAGAAUGAGGAUGCCAGGCAGGAAUGAGCCAACCCUCACCGUCCACGCUCAGGAGGCUGGAGGAGCGCCGCGGUCUGUUCACCCGGCAGAUCCGACUGCAAGAGUGACAGACACCAGAGCAGCCACCCCAGCGGGGACGGCUCUCCAGAACAGAGCCUCAGUGGAAGGGGAGCUGGUCGCAGAUGCAAACGUAUGAGGGACGCCAUCCGUACAGUCACUCCCACAAGCAAAGCAGCACCCCAAAUCCCUCGGGGGGUGUGUGUGUAUAAAAGCUAAAGAUGUGGUGCAAGCACUUUGGGAAACUGGCCAUAGCUUCAAAAACUAAAUACAGGCAUGCCCUGUCUCUGGCAGUUCCACUCUGGAAUAUACACUAGAAGAAACGCAUUCUCGUGUCCACCAAAAGCUGUGAACGAGAAAGUUCACAGAAAUGGGGAAGAACGCACGUCUGCGUAGACAGCAGGGCAGUUAAACCAUCUGUGGUCUGUUGAAACAGUGGAACGCUACGCAGCCGUGAAAAGGCAUGAAGCACUGACACGAAACACGGACUGAGCUCACGGGCACGACGUCGAGGGAAAGUGCCUGAUGCAAAGAGCACACACGGAUGGACGCCAUUUACACGAAGUUCAAGGACAGCAAAACCAAGGGCUCAAACGGGUCUGUGACUUGAUCCGGGUGGUGAUCCCACGGGCUCUCAAAAUUGCCCAGUUAGAUUCGGGCAUCUGACCGCACUUUAUCCGUCCAUCCGACAAACACCAGGACAAAGAUUCACGUGGCAUCUUGAGCACCAGAUCCAGGGGCGCAGCAACUUUUAGGAGAGAUACAAAUGGGGGCAGGGCAAACUGGGGUCACCUGUUUUGAGGUGUUUCCUUCUUAGGCUGAGUGAUGGCUGUAUAGAAAUUUAUUUUAUUAUCCUUGAAACUUUUUUGAAGUGUAAAGUAUUUCAUUGAAAACCAAACCAAAAACUAGACCCAUUUCCAGAGCUUCUCCUGCUCCAGAGCGUGCCGUGGCUCCCUGCUGCCUGCGGGCCGAGGCCUACCCUCCUCUUGCAUGCCAUUCGAGGCCCCGUCCUGGGCCUCACCCUGUCUUUCCAGCCUCCUCUCUCGCCUCUCCCCAGCAGCCGAGCUGGUCGCCUCGCUCUUCCCCUAACACGCCUCCCACAUUCCCGUCUCCUCGCCUUCCUCCCACCUGGAAUGCCUCCUCCUUCCUGCUGCUUCCUCUGUGCCAGGCACAGGCCGCGGGCUGUCGGCUAUUAACCCCUGAAGCCGGGGGCCGAGCCAUGGUGAGACUGGGGCAUCGCUUUCAGACCCAAAUCAUCUCCGCUGCCACCCCCAAAGCCACCCCAAUUAAUCCAAGCACAAAAAAAAAAUGCUGUGCCCACGGUUCCAAGACAAAUCCCCCCACACCACAUUUCCUGAGUGCCUCCGAUACAGAAAUCUGGCCCACCGCCGGGUUUGGUCUUCACUCAUCCCUAAGGAUUGGGUGUUUAUCACUCUCAUUUUACAUAGGGGGCAACUAAGGCUCAGAGAGGGCAAGUGACUUGUUCAAACACUCAGCAAAGACUGUCUUGGUCCUGAGAUCUUUUUCUCUGAAAGCUUCCAGUCAUGACUGACUCCCAAGCUUGUUCCUGCCUCAGGGCCUUUGCACUCACUAUUCCCGCUCCUGGAAUGCCCUUUUCCCAGAUCUUCCUGUGCCCAGCUCCUUCUCAUCAUUCUAUUCCCUGAAUUCAGGUCAGAGCAGGCACCUUCCCAGAAGCCUGCUCCCACCCCCGUGUAAAGUAAUCCUACCCCAUCUUUCUCUGUCACAUCUCCACAUUUUAUUCCAGUCAAAUAACUUAGCACUAUCUGAAUUGUUCCACAUAUUUAUUCAUUCACUUCCACACUACGUGCCGCAUGCACAUCCCUUUAGGAUGUCCACACCACAAGGCAGGGUUUUGCCUGUCUUGUUCACUGUUGUGUCCCAGGGCCUGGUGCAGUAGAUGCCCGGUAAGUGAGGCAUCUGGCUGAGUGUGCCUACCAGCGUCCCACCGCAAGGAUACGGCAGAGAAGGCAGUCAGGGACCGUCUUGGGCCUGAAUCUUUCUCUUCACCAAUCAGCUCUCCCCAGGUCCAGGGCUGCACUGGGUCCAAAGAAACAGGAGAGAGAGGGGAAAACAGGCCAGGCCAUGCAGCCAGGCAGGCCCCCACCACAACCCACCCGACAGGUUGAAAGGGCCUCACAUCCCACCGAAAACAUGAAUUUUUUGCUGUUAAUAUUUCUGAGUUUGUGUAAUGGUGUGAUUUUGCCCUGAUCCUGUCGCCAAUUUUUAGUUCUCAGUUUCCUGUUUGCAGUGUGGCUCCAUUUCUCCAGAUUUUUAGCAUUUUCAGGUGCUUCUAAAGCUCAUAUGGCCAGACAGGGUAGAGACCAGAACAGAGAAAGUCAGAGAGAGACCCCAAGAGACAGAAGGAGAGAAACUGAGGCAGAAAAGAGAGAAACAGGUGGACAGAGAGAGACAGAUGGGGACAGAGAAAGACAGAGAUGGGGGGGGACCACAAGACAGCGCCAUCUGACUCGCAUGUCUCCUUCCAUACCACACACCUCAAUAACAACGACGACGACAGUAACAAUAACAAUAUUUAUUGAGCGCUUACUGUGUGCGAGCAUGUGCUACACGUGUUUGCACGUGAUCUUGUUUGACUCUCACAACCACCCUGUAAGGGGAACUGAGGCACAGCGAGGUCACCCAGCACACCCCCAGGCACAAAGCCAGCAGAUGGGGAAGCCAGGUUUGCCCCAGAACCAGGCUGAACCAUCUUCUCCAGCAGCGGGCCUUGGGGUGUCCGGGCUUGUUUUGGGGGAGCCCUUCUCAAAUUUGGCUGUGCCAGCUACCUGUCAUCCUGAUGCGACAGGGCCGGGCUGGGGCCCAGGACUCUGCAUUUCUAACAGCCCCAGGCGGGCCCGAUGCUCUGAGGCCCAGACCACGCUCCGGUUUAGAGGGGUCUGUCACCCCGAGGACCCAAUCAGCCACCACUCCAACCACCACCCACACCCAGGCCCUGGGGCCAUGGCAGCCCUCUCGUCUCAGUUCUUCCUUCUCAGCACUUCCUGUCCAUCUGUCAUCAGAUUCCCGGGAAUUCCCCGUGAGAGGCUUGCACAAAGAUGUUCAUUGUCGCAUUGUUUAUAGAAGGACAAAUUGGAAGCACUGAAAAGUCCACGGUAAGGGGCUAACUACACCGGGAUGGAUGCAGCCAUCCCAAAGAUGGCAGAGCAAAGCCCAAAACAUACGUGACGUCUGACCUAGCAGCUCCACUUCUAGGAACAAAUCCUACGGCCUUGCACGUGGGCACAGAUGCUUGCACAAGACUGUCUGUUGCAGCGCGUGGUGGUGAAAGCCUGCCAACUCCUGACGCCCACCGAGGCAGCGCUGGCCCAUUAGGUCAGCCUCCGUGAAGGAUGCUGCACAGGCUUAAGAGGAGCCCGCUCGGCACCCACGCGGACCGUCUCAGGAGCUGCUGCAAAGGGGAAAUAACCAGACGCGGAAACAGCGCGCACAUCUGCUGUCUGAGGGAAAACAGAAAGCAAAUAAAUGUUUUUGUUUGUAGGUACAGAGAGAAACGUCUGGAAAGACUGUCACCAAAUUGUUCACACUGGAGUUGCCACUGUUCAUGAACUACACGCUUUAACUCAUUUAAUCUUCACAAGCGGGCAGGUGGACGGACUGGUAUUGUCCUCAUUUCACAGAUGGGGAAACUGAGGCCGGAGCAGUGAGGCCCCCUGCCCAAGGUCAGCCAGGGGGCAGGCAGAGCUGGGAUCCGAACCACAGCUGUCAGUCACACAGCCCUCUCAAUUCAGACGUGGUUGCUUCAAGUUUUGGGCAUUAUUGGAAAUCGAGGCAAUGAACCCAAGUGUCUCUCUCUUUCUCCCCACCCCUCUCUCUCUGUCGUUUUAAACAAAGCUUUUAAGAAAACGCCCUCAUGGAGCCGGCCUGGUGGCAUCGUGGUUAAGUUCACAUGUUCCACUUCGGCAGCCCAGGGUUUGUCAGUUCGGAUCCCAGGUGCAGACCUGUGCACUGCUUGGCAAGCCAUGCUGUGGCGGCGUCCCACAUACAAAAUAGAGGAAGAUGGGCACGGAUGUUAGCUCAGGGCCAGUCUUCCUCACAAAAGAAAUAAAUAAAUAAAAUGUAAAAACAAAAAGAGUGUGUUAUAUAGUCAAGCAAGGACAGAGAGAACGUUCCAGAGAGAAGGACACCAAAGAGACUUGCCACCGAAUGCAGGGCCUGACCCUUGAUUGGAGUCUGGACCGGGGGAAAAAGUAGCUAUAAAGGACACUUGGAGCAAUCCCAGGAUUCAGAUGUGGCCCGGCUCUCAGUUGACAUGACUGAGUGGAUGCUUGGCUCCUCGGGGCGCCGGGCACCGCGGUUUGUGGAAAACGCCCUCGUGCUUUGGAGACGCUCCCCGGAGGGUUUAGGGUGAAGG
This is a long non-coding RNA of Equus caballus (horse), 5480 nucleotides long. The record is from Ensembl. NCBI's taxonomy places the organism in Eukaryota, Metazoa, Chordata, Mammalia, Perissodactyla, Equidae.